AUGGGGAAGAAUUUUUUUUCUGACCUUACAGUCCUCCUUUUUCUUUACAUGUUUUUCUUUAUUGACUGUUCUUUCCCAGUUGGCAAUCUGAGUAAGAAAGAAGGGGCUAGCAUCAUCACAAAGCUGAAAUGUUCCGCUUCAGCCCAAACACUCGGAAAGAACAUGGGGUACAUCACUGACAAAACGCAGCGAUGCGAUUUUCUGUGUGUUCGGCCUUCGUUGCAGGAAGAGCCUGUAUCGGAGAGUGCAUGGGUGCCUGAGUCUCUGGACCAUCCAGUGCUCCACAUCUCUGUUAAGAUUAAUCAGCUGAAUAUAAGAGAGCACUCCCCAAGUCUUCACGGAGGCGCAACUGCGAAGCUAAUCAAAAUCAAUGACUUCUUGGCUGCUGUAAAAAAACAGAGGAGCGCCCAGGAGAGAGGGACUGUGCUGGUUUCCUACCCAUUAGGAAGGUACAGAACCCCCCCCCACCACCACCUCUCACAGCUGUUGCAAUGCAGGAGGCACAGCGCUAGGGGAGUAUACAGCAUGCUUUCGUUUCAAAUACAAACAUCAACCAGGGUUAAAUCAGAUAUUUAA
Molecule: long non-coding RNA, 576 nt
Filed under: Struthio camelus australis
Lineage: Eukaryota; Metazoa; Chordata; Aves; Struthioniformes; Struthionidae
Description: lncRNA (ENSSCUG00000009608.1)
Source: RNAcentral